UUGUUGGAGAAUACAAUGCAAGCUUCUAGAGUGUUCUCAAUAUUACAAGAAAGAAGACAUUACUAUGGAAUACUCUAGAAUAUAAAAUAAAUAAAAGAGGGAACCUUCUAGUGUUUAGAUAUGCAUAAAGAAGCUUUGGAAUACUCUAGAAUAGGAGUUUAAAAUAAAUAAAUAGGAAACCUUCUAGUAUCUAGAUAUUUAUGUAGAAGUGUGUGGAAGGCUUUAGAUAUUUUGUAUCAAUGGCUAAGAUUUUGACACAUGUCAAAAAUCCAAUGGCCAUGUAGUCCUAUAAAUAGAGGCCCUUGCCUCACACCUUGUGUAGUAGAGAAUAAGAAAGUGAAGAAGGUGGAGAACAAGGUGUGAGCAAGUGUAAGGUGUGUAUGCUCUCUCUUGUACUAAUAUUCCUAAAGCAAUAUAGUACUAUUUUGUUCAUAUAAGUCUCCCGGUUAGGCCUUGUUAUUUCUAAGUACUUAGUGCAUAUAAGUUGUGAUUUAACGUGAGCGGAUUCGCCCGGAAUCACAACGGUCUUGUUUCAACGUGAGUGACAUAGCCGCCCGGAUUCAAGACUUGCUUUAACGUGAGUGGCUCUGCCGCCCGGAAGCUUGCACUAAGUAAAUAGAAAUAAAAAGGGACUAAUCAACUACACCAAAGUAGUUGGUAUAGGUGAGUAGGCCCUCUCGUAGUGUGUUAGGUCCACCUCGAAUUCUCUACAUACUUAUUUUAUAAAUUUGAUCAAACUUUAAAUGUUUUGAGUCGGGACAAAGGGAAGACUUGUUACAUUUAGGAAAGCCACACAUGGCUGCGUUACAAAAGCAAAACCACAUGGCACGAACACACAUGACAGACGAUCAAAGAGCGCGUUCGGGGCGGACCAAAGAUGAGGUGACCUAGAGAGGCAUAGGACAUGAACUCAAAUUUUCAAAUUGCAAUAGUGUUCUCUUCAUCAAUUUCUAAGAAAGAAAAACAUGAAAAAUUUGAAUUUAAACAAGAAAUGCCCAACUAAAACCAUUUGCCUCCACUCAAAUUUAUUUCUUUGAUCGAUCGACCUGCAGGCCAUGUCAUCAUCUCCGCUUGUUCCUGCUUCCCAGCACGAGCGUGAGGUAGAAGAGCACCCGGAAUAAGAACCC
Molecule: long non-coding RNA, 1127 nt
Filed under: Brachypodium distachyon (stiff brome)
Lineage: Eukaryota; Viridiplantae; Streptophyta; Magnoliopsida; Poales; Poaceae
Description: long non-coding RNA (BDIS_LNC001361)
Source: RNAcentral